Molecule: ribosomal RNA, 122 nt
Filed under: Periophthalmus magnuspinnatus
Lineage: Eukaryota; Metazoa; Chordata; Actinopteri; Gobiiformes; Gobiidae
Source: RNAcentral
CUGUAAGGCCAAACCUCCUUUGUCAAAGCCUGAUCUCGUCUGGUUUCAGAAGCUAAGCGGGGCUGGGCCUGGUCAGUUGUUGGAACGGAGACGGCUGGGAAUACCAGGUGACGCCGUGGGGC